RNAcentral lists this transfer RNA (62 nucleotides) under Lipoptena sp. RNAcentral describes it as "tRNA-Cys". Lineage: Eukaryota; Metazoa; Arthropoda; Insecta; Diptera; Hippoboscidae. The record is from RNAcentral.
AGCUUUAUAGUCAAUUAAUGAUAUUAGACUGCAAUUCUAAAGGAGUAGGUAUACUAAGGCUU